UGGGGAAUAUUGCACAAUGGGCGCAAGCCUGAUGCAGCCAUGCCGCGUGUGUGAAGAAGGCCUUCGGGUUGUAAGCACUUUCAGCGAGGAGGAAGGGUUCAGUGUUAAUAGCACUGUUCAUUGACGUUACUCGCAGAAGAAGCACCGGCUAACUCCGUGCCAGCAGCCGCGGUAAUACGGAGGGUGCAAGCGUUAACCGGAAUUACUGGGCGUAAAGCGCACGCAGGCGGUCUGUUAAGUCAGAUGUGAAAUCCCCGGGCUCAACCUGGGAACUGCAUUUGAAACUGGCAGGCUUGAGUCUUGUAGAGGGGGGUAGAAUUCCAGGUGUAGCGGUGAAAUGCGUAGAGAUCUGGAGGAAUACCGGUGGCGAAGGCGGCCCCCUGGACAAAGACUGACGCUCAGGUGCGAAAGCGUGGGGAGCAAACA
Molecule: ribosomal RNA, 426 nt
Filed under: uncultured bacterium
Lineage: Bacteria
Description: bacterial SSU rRNA
Rfam family: Bacterial small subunit ribosomal RNA
Source: RNAcentral